GGCUCUGGCUGCUUUCCCUCUGCGCGAGGCUCCGUGGUGCAUCCGCGUAGGGGUGCAGCUGAGGACACCGGAGAUCAGUUGAGGGUGCCUACUGCGACCUUGUCACUCUGGCCGCGCGCUCAGUCCUCGGCCAGCUCCUGCCCAGGACCUACAUGCUCCCCUCAUCCUCCCUGCGGCCUCCACAGUGACCGUUCAGUUCCUGGCCGCCGCUGAUUUCGACCUCGCGUCCCUCCAAGGCCCAUUCGUGUGGGAGACCAACCCUGGCAGCCAGACUCGAGCCGGCGGGGAACAGCGCGCCCAAGCUGAGGGAGUGUGGUUUCCUGAUUGUCCUGGCUAAAGCCUGGGAACCUCGCGAUGGGAUCUAGACUGACCAUGACCAUGAGCCACGCUGGAAGAUCCAGGUGAGUCACCGCGCAGUUGAUUGUUCCCAGGCACACCACACACACAGUUUUCAGAAAAACCACUGAGAUUUCUAUUCAACUCACGCAAAAGUGACCCAGAAAGUCAGCGGUGACAGGAAAGACUGGUUUAUUCUAAACCACGUGAGUGCCCAGGGCUGAGAACAACUUGGUGUCUGCCCAGGGCCAGACAACUUGGUGUAUCUCCCAGGUGGGAUCUCUCCCAUGAGUUUCAAAAUGUGAGCCCUAGUUUUAUGGUCGGGGGACACUUGGUGAUAUAUUCUGGGAAAUAUAUUGGUCGCCGGGAUGCCAAGUCAGACAGACAAGUUACAGUAAAUAUUAAAGGACUUAAGCAAGCCCAAGAUCAUUUUGACUCUCUGUCUCCACAAUCACCACCAGGUUCCAGGAAGGUUGCAGCUCGGUCACCUAGGGCAGGUCACCUAGGGCAGUUAGCUGAGGUGAUAAGUUCACACAAACCUGUCUGUUCUUCUCCUUUUGGGCUCCCACUUUCCUCAUCCUCACUCAGCCUGUUGCCCUCCCCUUCUUCAUUUGUCCGCUUGGGGCCAGCAGCUGACAACCCUUAGGAAUUUGACCCUGACUGGGUCCCCCUCCUCCUCCCCCUCCCGCUCCCCCAUUGAAUAAACUCAAAUGGCAAGUGGUCUUGUCAGCGGGAUCAAUAUUCUCAGCCUGGAGGAGACAUACCACGUUUUGGUGAUAGUUUCCCUCGAAUACCCUGCUGCUUUGCAGGCUCUGAGCUAGCCCCUUUCCAGGGCCCUUAGCCAUCCCACUUACCUCAGAGCCACCCUAACAUUGUCCACCUGCCACCAGCCCAGGUUGGGCCAAUCUCAUAUGUAACCAGUUAAGACCGGACAGCUUAGGGCCAGCAAGAUAGGUGAGCAGUGAAAACUACUUCUCAUGCGUGGUGGUUUGAAUGGGAAUGGCUCCACCCACAGGCUCAUACAUUUGAAUGCUUGGUCAUCACAGAGUGGCACUGUUUGAGAGGAAUUAGGAGGUGUGACCUUGUUAGAGACAAUGUGUCACUGGGUUUAGGGUUUCAAAAGCCCAAGCCAGGCCCAGUUUCUCUCUGCUGCCUGCCGAUCUGGAUGUAGAACUCUCACUACCUCUCCAGUGCCAUGUCUGCCUGUGUGUUCUCAUGAUAACAGUAGAUUAAACUAGUAAAACUAAGCAAGCCCCAAUUCAGUGCUUAUUCUUGUAAGACUUUACAUGGUCAUGAUGUCUCUUCACAGCCAUAGGACACCAACUAAGACAUCACAAAAGCCGUACUACCUGAGUUCACACUCUAGAACCCAUGGUGGACAGCAAGAACUAACUCCAGAAAGUUGCACUCUGACCUUAUAUGCACAUGCUAUGUUUGUGCACACACACCAUGCAUGCCCCUACACCACAAUAAAAACUUUUAAAAAGUGAAGGGAAAAUACACCAUGACUCCCUCACUAGAGGUCCCAGAGUCUUCAAUUCCAUUAGAGACAGGAGUGGACCCUUGUCAUGUGCCAAGGGUCAUGUAGAGGGGAAGUAUCUGUCUGGGAAGAUGACAGUUCUGGAGAUAGAUAUGAUUAUAUUUGCACAGUAAUGUGUAUGUAAUUAAAGCCACAUUAUCAGAUACCUGAAAAUGCAAAUAUAUGCUCCGUGGUUUUUACCAUAUACUUGUUUUGUUCUGUUUGUUUUUCAAGACUAGGUUUCUUUGUUUGGCCUUGACUGUUCUGAAACUAACUUUAUAACCUUGGCUGGCCUCAAACUCACGAGAUCCACCUGCUUCUGCCUCCCAAGUGUUGGGAUUAAAGGCGUGCACCACCACUGCCUGUCAUUUUAUCAUCUACUUAAAACUUCUUUGUGUGGAGACCGGGUCGCCAUGCUUGGUGGCAGACAGACAGUGGCAGGGUGGUUCUGUUUCAGCUGAGGGAAGCAGGAUGGCCAAGUGCCCUGGAGAGCAGACAGCCCAGAACCCGCCCCCCAGACUAUUUCACAUCUAUGCUGUGGUUUGUGACAGAAUCUCAUUCUGUGGAAAAGCUGAGUAGUAUUCCACAGUGAACAUGUCAUACCUUGUGCCUUAGUUACUGUUCUAUUGCUGUGAAGAUACAUGACCAAGGCAGCGUACAGAGAAAGCUUGCUUGAGGGUUCGUCUAUUACCGCAGACCCUCUUGAGUCCCUUGUCUGCAUAGAACGGGUCUCUAGUUGUAGAUGGGCAAGGAGUUGGCGAAUGACAGACAGAUGCAACACCAGAGGUUGUGUAGAAUCUGAAUGUAAUGUCAAAUUGAGCAUCAAACUUUAUACAGAAGAAAAUAGGGAAGUUAGGUGACACAUCAGUAAGGUACAAAUGAGGUUACCGGAUGCUUAAUGACUCCUACACAAAACAAAGGAAUGUAAACACAAAGAGUGGCAGGAACUGGGCAAUAAAACAACUGAAAUAAAGUCAGCUUUAAGGUCAGCCAUAGUCUUAGAAGCCAGGUGUGAGGUCUUUACACUCCUAGGGCAAGGGCUUUCACACCCAAGUCAUGGUUCUAAUUAGGGAGUUCUGCUCUAGCUAACCAUCUCAUGAAUAAUGCAAUACUCUAAAACCACAGCCUGAUCUACUUCCUAAACCAUUGUAAAUUCCUGUAUAUGGAAGUGACUUGGCUUUUAUUCUAAGUGAUAGUGUAAUACCAGAGGCAAUUCUGAAUGUCACUGAAUAGGCAACAUUCUUACUGAAUUCCAAGCCCAUUGUCAGCUCAAGGACUUUCUAGGACAUUGGAACACUGGUGAAGGCUUAGCUAUGUCAGAAUUCAAUCUUAAAAGGCACUUAUAAUAAAAUAAUACUAAAAGAGAGCACGUGGAUCCAUACACUAGACUAACAUGGGGAUAGGGUGUGAGUAUACGGGUUAAUGAGAAUGCCAAAGCUCCAGGAGGUGAGUUCCUUUUGAAACUCUAUGCCUCGUGAGUGCUCCCAGGCUUCUCAGCCUGUCAAGCAGACUUCACUGGAGUGUGCAUGGCAGUCCAUUAUCAUCAUGGCAGGAGCAUGGUGGCAGGCAGGCAGGCAGGCAGGCAGGCAUGGCACUGGAGCAGCAGCUGAGAGCUUUACAUCCUGAUGCACAGGCAGCAGGCAACAAGAAAGAGAGAUACUGGGCCUGCUGUGGACCUUUGAACCCUCAAGGCUCAUCCCUAGGGAUAUACUUCCUCCAACAAGGCCAUAUUUACUCCUACUCCGUUAAGGACACUCCCCCCCCCCAAAUCCUUCCAUACAGUUCAUGAAUUGUAGACUAAGCAUACAAAUAUAUGGGAGCCAUUUUCAUUCAGACCUUGCCUACCCAUUCAUUGUUUGGGUUGCUUCCACCUCUUUGCUGUUGUAAACUGCUACUAAUACAGAAGAACUUUUCAAAUCACUGUCGGUUCCCCCACCUCUGUUCACAUUCUCCAUGCAGUGGGAUGGGGAGGGUGUGGCUCUGCAGGUGUCAGGCAGGGAAAUGAACCACAAAGAGGUGGGAAUGAAAGUUCAGACUGACUUUAUCAACCUGGAUAAAACCUUCUAGAGGGUCUUAGAUACUGUUCUAUUGCGUGAAGAGACAUGACCAAGGCAACCCCAUGCUAGGGGCUUAUUGCCAGUAUAUUUAAGAAAUAAUUUCUUAAUUAUAUAUAAUUAUGAUUUGGAAUUAAGUUUCCUGUUGUAAUACAACCCUCAAUGCACAAGGAACCGUAAUUAUAUUGAAAAUCACUCAGGGUAAAUGUCCUUUCUUCCAAGAAGAUGGGUUCUAGAGAUAAGAAACCUGUACUAGCUUAAGGACCUAAGGAAAGAUCUAGCCUUGUCUUGGUCAUACAGAUAGUGUUGCGGUCAUUUGGGCUAUUAGGCAUCUCUGGUCCUGGUUGUGGGAGCUUAAUAUGGCCUGGACCAACAGAUAACAUAGAUCACCACCCAACUGUUAGUCACCACCAGUUACUCGCUUUCUGCAUGGAAGAACAUAUUUUUACAUCUUUCCCUGUGUGCUUGACCUUCCUGGUUUCUCUGGAAAUCUGUGGCCACAGGACCCUUGUAACCAUACCCCAACAUGUCUGCAGUUCCCAUCCUAUUUCUAGAAGUCUCUGUCAUAACUUCAAAGCUUCAAGGUCACCACCUUGUCAACAUCUUUUGCCACACUUCCCCCUGCCCAUUGUAUGCAGCUAAGGUCACCAUCUCUGUGGCAUUUCUCAUACCCCUCUGCCCACCCCACACUACCACAUGGCCUCAUUAGGACACUAAUCCUACCAGGUCAUAUCCUCUGUAUCUUCAGGUUCCGUAACUACUUCUUUCCUUAGAUGCCUUGUUUCCACUGCUAUAACAAAACAUGAAGUUGGGUGCUUUAGGAAGAAAAGAGGUUUGUUUGGCUUACAGUUUUGAAGGCUGAAAAGCAUGGCACUAGUCCCUGGUAAGUCCCCAUGCUGUGUGACAACACAGCAGAGAAGCCAAGAAGAGAACCCACCUUCUGUAUACAGAAGGAUCAAUCACAAGCUAUAUAGGCUCCCUUAAAGCAACAGCUCCCAUGAAGUUUCAUGCUACAGACCAGCAUUUGUCACUUCCUAGUGUGGAAGCCCCAUGCCUAACCUUGCUCUAAACUCUAAAAGUUCUAAUAGCAGGGGCCAGCUCUCAGGUGGGUUCACUGGUCCCAAAGAAUAUGGCCAGAGAAAUCACCGUGCAGACAAGGAGACAGUGGAGAGGGGGUAGAAAGAGUGUAUACACAGAGAAAUGGAGAGAGAGAGAGAACAAAAUGUCUAUAUUAUGUAGAGAGAAUCUCUUGUGUACUGCGUGAAAGCAUCAGGUGAUAAAAGAGCUGAUCAGACAAUUAGCUGGAGAGAGGAGAUAGGGCAGAACUUCUAAUCCCAGUGAAGAGAUCCAAAGGGAGACCAGAACACAGUGGAGGACCACAAGGAGAAGAAGGUUUGGAGAGACCAGGCAGAUUCACUGAGAUGGCUGUGAGAAAGUAGCCAUGAAGACAAACAUGAACCAGGACAAACCAGGGCGAGACACAGAUGCAGGUAAAGGGCCAUUUUGCUGGGCAGUAGCAGCCUAGUUGGGUUAUAAUAGAUUGGAAUCUGCCCAGCUAUAAGUGAUUGCAGCUCUUUCAUUAACCAACCAGAGGUGAUGGAAAGAAAUUUUUAUAUAAUGAAACCAGAGCUUCUUGACUAUGCUGUCAUCUAGACUGUAACCAGCUGUCUGGACAUAGAAAUCAGCAUCUGAAUGCCCAGUGCACAGAACCAUCCUCCGUUAGGAUUGUAUAGGAAAGAACCUCUUAGGAGGGGAAGCCCAGCCUGGGCUGGAAAGGUCUGGGUACAGGUGUCCGCUGUAGCCUUCAACACCUGUGUUCACUUUAAUGAAACAUUCCUUCACAUGUUUGCUGCAGCAAAACACCAUCCAUCAGAUUUUCAAAAGAGCCUUUAAGUUCCCACCUCACCCUUUGCCCCGUUAACCUUCUUUCCCACUACCUCAGGUAGGUGGUGGGCUAGAAGGAAGGUGGGAACAUUGAAGAAACCUUAUUAAAGUAGAUUUUGAGAAAUCUAAUCCAAGAAGGGUGGGAUUGGUCGAAGAAAUAGUUUGGUCCUCAGAAUGUUUGCCAAUAUCUAGGGCAUUCAGGUCUGUUAUGGGGUCUCUGGGGGACUGGUUUUGGGGCCACCUGCUUAGAGAGACUGCCCAUUGUGUGAUGUUUUGGGGGGUAGGGAGAUGAGGGUGUGGUGUCAGAGGUUUACCAUUCUCCACUCAAUCAGGAAGCUGCCCUUUCGAGCUAUUGCCUGUGCCUGUCUGGCUGCGGGAUGUGACGUGUGAGUCUAUGAAGCAUGCAUCUAUGGGACUCCAGGGAGCCCUGAGAAUGGGCCCUUCCUGAGAAACCUGGCAGCCUCCCGCACUCACUGAGGCUUCUACCUCUUUAGGCUGGGAAGGAAUAAGACCACUACCACAAUUUUAAAUCAAAUUUGAAUGAAGCAAGCUGGAUUUUAUUGGGGUGCACUGAAGAGCUGGGUAGCAACUGCCUCCUAAGUUGGGCAAAGAUAACAGUCCCAAAUCCAUUUCCUGGGACCCUUUUAAGGAAUAAAAUCACAAGUAGUUGCAAAGUAGGUUUACAAAAGAGAGAGAUGGAAUAAAGGAAACACAGAAAAAUCUCAAAAAACAAAGACAAAAAACCCAAACAAACAACAAACACCACACCACCACAUGAACAGGGAAGGUCUCAGAUGAUCAUGGUGUUCUCAAAAUCAAGUCAGGGUCGUGGGUUCAGGCAGGUCAGGCUCCAGGAAACAGAUUGAAAAACAGAAACUCAGCUCUCUUAGUAAAUGGAAACGUUUUUUUUUUUUUUUUUUUUUUUUUUUUUUUUUUUUUUAGCAAUACAGCACAAUAGAUCCUGCCUUCAAAAUGGAGUCAGGCAGGUUCCUCAGUUUCUAUCUGCUACUAGUUCAUGAUCAUUGAGUGGUCAGGAGAAAGUGAAGUGGGGCAUAUUAGCGAUGGCCCUGGACCAGUAAUACUUCCAGCCAUCAGCUAAAGUGGGUCCUCAUGACCUUGGAAGCAACAUGGUCAAUCAAGGCCUUGAGUCCAGAAGAGAAGUGUCCUAGGCAAUGAGUAAUGUGCAGAGAAAUCAGACACACCAGGAACAGGGCCCCUCAGGGAGGUAAGGCCACAGUGAACCAAGAGGGUGCUGGCUUUUAAGUGACUGUGUCAAGGGGUUUGUAAAAGAGAAAGUUGAAAAUAUCAAGAAAUGGUGGAGAGAAAACAUCAGAGAUCUACAGAAAAUGGCAUUUAAAGAUGUUUUAUUACUUACGAGCCUGUUCUGACAGUGAGACAGAUCUGUUCCUUGUGGCCCCUCCAUUCUACUUCAAAGCAGAUGAUGAGCGCUGAAGAACUUCCAUGUGGAGUCUCUCUCUUGGUCAGUCAUCUCAAACCCAGAACACUGAGGGUUUUGAAGACCAUCUAUCUAUAACACAUCUACAUAGGCAAAUACUGCUUGUUUCUAACUAUAUAAACCUGUUCAACCUUGGAAUCAUAUUUCUGUAAUAAACUAAACUAGUAUCUAACAUGA
Long non-coding RNA from Mus musculus (house mouse), 7426 nucleotides. RefSeq annotates it as predicted gene, 30802. The record is from RefSeq and is a predicted model, not a curated record. The transcript is spliced from 2 exons. NCBI's taxonomy places the organism in Eukaryota, Metazoa, Chordata, Mammalia, Rodentia, Muridae.